UACAGAGGUCCCAAGCGGUGUUCGGAUUCAUUGGGCGUAAAGGGUGCGUAGGUGGCGUCGUAAGUCGGGUGUGAAAUUUCGGAGCUCAACUCCGAAACUGCAUUCGAUACUGCGGUGCUUGAGGACUGGAGAGGAGACUGGAAUUUACGGUGUAGCAGUGAAAUGCGUAGAGAUCGUAAGGAAGACCAGUGGCGAAGGCGGGUCUCUGGACAGUUCCUGACACUGAGGCACGAAGGCCAGGGGAGCAAACGGG
This 253-nucleotide ribosomal RNA is filed under the name uncultured bacterium. RNAcentral describes it as "partial 16S ribosomal RNA". It matches the Rfam family "Bacterial small subunit ribosomal RNA", at positions 524 to 776 of the family's 1533-position model. The record is from RNAcentral.